AUAAGCUAGUAAGGUCCCCGGAAGACUACCGGGUUGAUAGGCAGCAUGUGUAAGCGUGGUGACACGUUCAGCUAGGCUGUACUAAUAGACCGAGGGCUUGACCUU
This 105-nucleotide ribosomal RNA is filed under the name Clostridia bacterium. RNAcentral describes it as "partial 23S ribosomal RNA". It matches the Rfam family "Bacterial large subunit ribosomal RNA", at positions 2820 to 2925 of the family's 2925-position model. Lineage: Bacteria; Bacillati; Bacillota; Clostridia. The record is from RNAcentral.